AUCCAGCUGAUGAAUCUCAAAGAAGACGAAAUGUGCCUCCUGGAU
This is a non-coding RNA of Schistosoma mansoni, 45 nucleotides long. Lineage: Eukaryota; Metazoa; Platyhelminthes; Trematoda; Strigeidida; Schistosomatidae. The record is from Rfam.